Molecule: unclassified non-coding RNA, 418 nt
Filed under: Hevea brasiliensis (rubber tree)
Lineage: Eukaryota; Viridiplantae; Streptophyta; Magnoliopsida; Malpighiales; Euphorbiaceae
Source: RNAcentral
GUUGAAAAACAAUUUUAAUAGCUAAAUAACGAAUAGAUGGAAGUUAGAAUAUUUAUUAUAAUAGCUAAAUAACUCUGAAAGAUGGUGCCGAGGGUUAUGAUAGUUUGUAAUUUUUGAUAUUUCUGGGUUUCAUGAGGAAACGACUGGAGAGAGUAUAGUUAAUUGUAAGUUAAAUGGACAGAAAUAUGGAGUAACAUGGAGUUCGCUGAACGACAUCCAUAGGAGCUGGCUGGCUAACUUCAAGUUCGGUCUAAACGCUUUUUGAAGUUUUAGUUGAUCUGGAGAGAGAAGUUACUGUUUUUCCCCAGUAAUUAGACUUAUUUAUAUUUAUUUUAUCAAACAUUACUAGUACUAAAAAUUAGUUUCGUCGAGUUCAGUCAGGAAGAACACAACCAUUAACGGCUGAGAGGGUUAAGUA